This is a long non-coding RNA of Struthio camelus australis, 1338 nucleotides long. RefSeq lists it as uncharacterized. The record is from RefSeq and is a predicted model, not a curated record. NCBI's taxonomy places the organism in Eukaryota, Metazoa, Chordata, Aves, Struthioniformes, Struthionidae.
UCAGAAGCAUUUCUUCUUUCAUCAUGUUUCCCCUUCCUUGGGCAGUUGAAAAAAGAAUGAUUGUAUGCUGGUACUCAAUGUCGGCAUUUAGAAGUAGCUGAAAACAUGUCCGUGUGAAGGUUUGUAUAUACUAUAAAAGCAUUCUCCAGCUGCUGUGGUACAGUUAUAGCAAUACAUGUUACCAGCUGCCUUUUAACCAUCACGUUAGCUUUGACCACUCUUACCAAGGUUAGACAGUAUAACUGCUCCUGCGUGGCUCUUACAGGUGGAGCUGGAACGAUGUGAGAGCAAACACACGGAUACGAGACCAGAGAGGCCCAGCGCACUGCCGCCCGCUGCUGCGUCCUAGGCCCCUGCAGAGGGGGUCGUGGUCUCAGGCCUGCUGGGGAACUCGUGCGAAGGCUGUAGCAGACCGGGAUCAGUCCUGGUGGCUGCACCGUGCUUGAGCCGCUGGCAGGAGGGAUUGGUGCCAUGUGUCCGGAGGGCUCAGGACCAGGCCACGCGGCGUGGAGACGUUUGGGCAGCGUGCUGUUCAGGGCAGCUGCCCCAGCGUGGGAUGGGAGCCAGCCUGGCUGAGGUAGAUCCCUUUGGAAGAGGCGCUGUCCUAGGCCCCUGCAGAGGGGGUCGUGGUCUCAGGCCUGCUGGGGAACUCGUGCGAAGGCUGUAGCAGACCGGGAUCAGUCCUGGUGGCUGCACCGUGCUUGAGCCGCUGGCAGGAGGGAUUGGUUGAGAUUUGUCAGAAGUUGCCCCAGGACCUGCUGUGAUCUCAGUGUGUACUAGUGGGAAGCUAUCCUCCUGCUGAUGAUAGCCCUCUCCGUUGCUACUGUCUGUGAUCCCUUGUCUAAGCUACAACAUCCAUAUCACCCUGCAACAGCUCUUUGGUCUUUUCUCACAGCUAGCAGGGAGUGAUAAAUUGGUGUCCUGCCAACUCACAGAUGGAGGGUGGUGGGUUUUUUUUUUUUUCCCCUUCCUCAGUUUGAAGCAUUUAAUUGUAAUGGAUGCUGGAACUUGCUGCAACUUUAACAUAAUCUGGUGCUUCUGCCUGCAAGGGCAGUAUUCACCACCUGAGAAUUAAUGUUAUCUUGCUGCUAUCUUUAAAAGUACAGAAGUCUCACCUUAGAGAGGAGUUGUCAUGUAUGGGAGGGUGGCCUUGUGUUUAAGGUCAAUUCUCCUUUUCUAAGAGUGAGGAUUCAAAUCUUAGCUAUCCCCUGUUAACUCAGUAAGCUUUAGUAAUGUGUCACUGUCUGCCUGUAAUAUGAGGAAGGGACCUCAUGGGUGCUGUGGUGUAGUCUGAAUUUCUGUACUGUUUAGAGCUUACUUUUUAAUAAAAUCUGAGUA